GACGAACGCUGGCGGCGCGCUUAACACAUGCAAGUCGAGCGAGAACCCAGGCUUCGGCCUGGGGGAAAGCGGCGAACGGGUGAGUAACACGUGAGUAAUCUGCCCUCGACAUCGGGAUAGCCCGGGGAAACCCGGAUUAAUACCGAAUGGCCCAACAGCUUUUCGGAGCGGUUGGAAAAGGUAGCUUCGGCCUCCGGUCGAGGAGGAGCUCGCGGCGGAUUAGCUUGUUGGUGGGGUAACGGCCCACCAAGGCUUCGAUCCGUAGCUGGUCUGAGAGGACGAUCAGCCACACUGGGACUGAGACACGGCCCAGACUCCUACGGGAGGCAGCAGUGGGGAAUCUUGCGCAAUGGGCGAAAGCCUGACGCAGCGACGCCGCGUGAGGGAAGAAGGCCUUCGGGUUGUAAACCUCUUUCAGGAGGGACGAAGCCACUCGGGUUAAUAGCCCAGAGGGUGACGGUACCUCCAGAAGAAGCCCCGGCUAACUACGUGCCAGCAGCCGCGGUAAUACGUAGGGGGCCAGCGUUGUCCGGAUUUAUUGGGCGUAAAGAGCGUGUAGGCGGCCAGGUAGGUCUGCUGUGAAAACUCGAGGCUCAACCUCGAGACGUCGGCGGAAACCAUCUGGCUAGAGUCCGGAAGAGGAGAGUGGAAUUCCUGGUGUAGCGGUGAAAUGCGCAGAUAUCAGGAAGAACACCCGUGGCGAAGGCGGCUCUCUGGGACGGUACUGACGCUGAGACGCGAAAGCGUGGGGAGCGAACAGGAUUAGAUACCCUGGUAGUCCACGCCGUAAACGAUGGGUGCUAGGUGUGGGCGGUGUCGACUCCGUCCGUGCCGAAGCUAACGCAUUAAGCACCCCGCCUGGGGAGUACGGCCGCAAGGCUA
RNAcentral lists this ribosomal RNA (882 nucleotides) under uncultured bacterium. RNAcentral describes it as "bacterial SSU rRNA". It matches the Rfam family "Bacterial small subunit ribosomal RNA", at positions 28 to 896 of the family's 1533-position model. The record is from RNAcentral.